Hirundo rustica (Barn swallow) is the source of this 188-nucleotide long non-coding RNA. RefSeq lists it as uncharacterized. The transcript has 3 exons. NCBI's taxonomy places the organism in Eukaryota, Metazoa, Chordata, Aves, Passeriformes, Hirundinidae. The record is from RefSeq and is a predicted model, not a curated record.
GGAUGAGUGAGAGAAAAGAGGGGGUUAGCUGGUAAGAGGAGGUUUGUGUUGAGGAGCAUGAAGGAGAGAGUCAUGAAGCAGGAUCCUGGGGAGAAUGUCACUGCUGUGAGGUUACUCCAGAAUAAAGUAUAGAAGUUUGGAUGUCAUGAGACCUUGGUGGUUGUGACUAGACAUGGUGAAAACUCAGC